GACGAACGCUGGCGGCGUGCUUAACACAUGCAAGUCGAACGGAAAGGCCCUGCUUUUGUGGGGUGCUCGAGUGGCGAACGGGUGAGUAACACGUGAGUAACCUGCCCUUGACUUUGGGAUAACUUCAGGAAACUGGGGCUAAUACCGGAUAGGAGCUCCUGCUGCAUGGUGGGGGUUGGAAAGUUUCGGCGGGUGGGGAUGGACUCGCGGCUUAUCAGCUUGUUGGUGGGGUAGUGGCUUACCAAGGGUUUGACGGGUAGCCGGCCUGAGAGGGUGAACGGCCACAAUGGGACUGAGGUACGGCCCAGACUCCUACGGGAGGCAGCAGUGGGGAGUAUUGCACAAUGGGCGGAAGCCUGAUGCAGCAACGCCGCGUGCGGGAUGACGGCCUUCGGGUUGUAAACCGCUUUCGCCUGUGACGAAGCGUGAGUGACGGUAAUGGGUAAAGAAGCACCGGCUAACUACGUG
This 468-nucleotide ribosomal RNA is filed under the name uncultured bacterium. RNAcentral's name for it is "partial 16S ribosomal RNA". It matches the Rfam family "Bacterial small subunit ribosomal RNA", at positions 28 to 507 of the family's 1533-position model. The record is from RNAcentral.